This 208-nucleotide non-coding RNA is filed under the name Chitinophaga jiangningensis. The record is from RNAcentral. Lineage: Bacteria; Pseudomonadati; Bacteroidota; Chitinophagia; Chitinophagales; Chitinophagaceae.
UACUUUCACGCCGCAAUUGGUUUUUACCCUUCAUUUCACGAAGGUUAAAAUUAAUAGGGAAUCAGGUGCAAAUCCUGAGCAGACCCGCUACUGUAAGUUCUGUAACAACACUUCGACAUCCACUUGCCACUGUUUUUAGUGACUAAAAACGGGAAGGCCGUCGAAAGUGAGAACAAGCCAGGAGACCUGCCAUGCAGCUAUUUCGUAA